This 107-nucleotide small nucleolar RNA is filed under the name Saitoella complicata NRRL Y-17804. RNAcentral describes it as "Small nucleolar RNA snR60/Z15/Z230/Z193/J17". It matches the Rfam family "Small nucleolar RNA snR60/Z15/Z230/Z193/J17". Rfam says of the family: The members of this family belong to the C/D class of snoRNAs which contain the C (UGAUGA) and D (CUGA) box motifs. The record is from Rfam by way of RNAcentral. Lineage: Eukaryota; Fungi; Ascomycota; Saitoellomycetes; Saitoellales; Saitoellaceae.
GGACGAGAGGAUGAUUUAUCAACAUCAAGCAUAGUUCAACAGAGGUGCUACUACACCAAUGUUGACAAACCGAUAGCAUUGUCUUUCGCUCCUAUCUGAUCACGUUC